CAAAAGGAUCAUGGGAUAUGUAGUUCAGCGGCAAACGUAUAGGAACUCCAGAGAUGUCAACUAAAUGACCAAUAGAGUAUAUAAAACGGUCGUUGGAACUCUGCCUGUCCUCCGGUCCUGAGAGCCUGUGUCAGCUACAUUGGGGGUUCCUGUCCGUUUGCCAGUAUUUGUACCGGUUCCGUGAGUAGCGGCUUUGCCACGUCCGUCGGCCAAGGCCGCUGUAUUCUUUAAAAAUAAGAAAAACCACGCUGUUACCGGGAUUUUUUUUGUGUCUGAGCAGCCACACGGUCCGUGCACUCUCAGCCACACAGAGCGCACAGAAGAAGACAUCCUCCGUCCGUCCUCACAAGCCGGGGUCCCGAGCGUCCGCAGCCGCACAGCUCGGCACACGGGAGACGCGGCUAAAACGAACAGCUGUUUGCGGAGAAUUAACAGCUAGCCGCCAGGAGUGAAGAUCCGCCCCACCACUACCAAGUACAAGAUUUACCAGAUUUAUUGGGCAUCCCAGAAGAAUCAUCUUCUCUUAAAAUAGAGAGAGCUCAUAGGUUGGGCCCACCACGCGAUUCCAACCAAUCUAGACCCCGCCCAGUUAUCUUUAAGUGUCUGAACUUUCGACAUAAGGAACUGAUUUGGUCUGCCGCCAGGAGUAAGGGACCUCUUCACUGGGAUGGCCAAAGACUGUUCCUAUUUCAGGAUUAUUCCGCAGAGGUUUCAAAGGCCAGAAUGGAAAUGUCAUCAGUUUGCUCCCAACUACUGAAGAAUGGCACUAGAUUUGCUCUUCUUUAUCCUGUGCGGCUGCGCAUCUUCACUCCACAAGAUCCGAAGGAUUUCACGUCAGUGGACUGUGCUAAAGACUUUGUGUCCGAAACUAUGGAAUCUUCGAGAACGAUGUCGGCUUCUUCUUCAGUCUCUGUGGAUCAUAAUGAUUGAACUUAGGUCAUAUGGUUUUGUUACUCUUUCUUAAGCCCAGUAC
Long non-coding RNA from Pseudophryne corroboree (corroboree frog), 973 nucleotides. RefSeq lists it as uncharacterized. The transcript is spliced from 3 exons. NCBI's taxonomy places the organism in Eukaryota, Metazoa, Chordata, Amphibia, Anura, Myobatrachidae. The record is from RefSeq and is a predicted model, not a curated record.